ACGGGAGGCAGCAGUGGGGAAUAUUGGACAAUGGGCGAAAGCCUGAUCCAGCGACGCCGCGUGAGUGAAGAAGUAUUUCGGUAUGUAAAGCUCUAUCAGCAGGGAAGAUAAUGACGGUACCUGACUAAGAAGCCCCGGCUAACUACGUGCCAGCAGCCGCGGUAAUACGUAGGGGGCAAGCGUUAUCCGGAUUUACUGGGUGUAAAGGGAGCGUAGACGGCAAAGCAAGUCUGAAGUGAAAUGCCGGGGCUUAACCCCGGAACUGCUUUGGAAACUGUUUAGCUAGAGUGCAGGAGAGGUAAGCGGAAUUCCUAGUGUAGCGGUGAAAUGCGUAGAUAUUAGGAGGAACACCAGUGGCGAAGGCGGCUUACUGGACUGUAACUGACGUUGAGGCUCGAAAGCGUGGGGAGCAAACAGGAUUAGAUACCCUGGUA
Molecule: ribosomal RNA, 434 nt
Filed under: uncultured Clostridium sp.
Lineage: Bacteria; Bacillati; Bacillota; Clostridia; Eubacteriales; Clostridiaceae
Description: partial 16S ribosomal RNA
Rfam family: Bacterial small subunit ribosomal RNA
Source: RNAcentral